UGAUUUAUAAGAGGCAACACUUAAUAAGAUGAUAUACUCGGGAUUUCAACUCAAUCAAACAAAUUGUGUUCCUCCAUUUCACAUGUCAAAGAGGUGAUAAAUACCUAAAAAUAAGAAAGGAAAAAAAAGUGAGGAAUCAGUACACAACAGCAGCAUAAAAGAUCCCAGCAACAGGAAACAACCAGCAAAAACCCAGCUCAAAACCAGUCAAUGGAAUAGUAGAAGAACAACAACUCAGAACCUCAUCUUCAAGAAAAAUUCAAACCAUCUCUCAAACUAG
This 280-nucleotide long non-coding RNA is filed under the name Nicotiana benthamiana. Its description in RNAcentral is "long non-coding RNA (NBEN_LNC029073)". Lineage: Eukaryota; Viridiplantae; Streptophyta; Magnoliopsida; Solanales; Solanaceae. The record is from RNAcentral.